This 383-nucleotide long non-coding RNA is filed under the name Homo sapiens (human). RNAcentral describes it as "HSALNT0107459". Lineage: Eukaryota; Metazoa; Chordata; Mammalia; Primates; Hominidae. The record is from RNAcentral.
AAAACAUUGCUACUAGAGGUGACUUUGCCUCAUUAUCUCUGGCCCCAAUUUUGGAUCCUGGAAAAAGUUUUAUAAUUGUCUGAUUUAAGCCAAGCAUUCAUGGAGAAGCAUCAUGUCCUGGGGUGAAGAUGUGGUCCAUAUUCUUCAUGACUAAUUCGUGAGAGAAAUCUGCCCCUGCCAUAUACAGCCAAUCGUCAGGAAAUCCUGCAUGCUCUUCUUUCAAAAUACUUAAAAUUCAAGUGCUUCUUGUGACCUCUCUUGUCUGAGCUAGCGUCUUCACCAGCCUGGGUACAGCAGUGGGCAUCUAUCCAGUCACCUAGCCACCAUCUCUGUCUUCCUGUUGCCUAUUCUCAACACAGCUAUGACAGUGAUCUGCAUAAAAU